This 468-nucleotide ribosomal RNA is filed under the name uncultured bacterium. RNAcentral describes it as "partial 16S ribosomal RNA". It matches the Rfam family "Bacterial small subunit ribosomal RNA", at positions 28 to 507 of the family's 1533-position model. The record is from RNAcentral.
GAUGAACGCUGGCGGCGUGCUUAACACAUGCAAGUCGAACGGAAAGGCCCAAGCUUGCUUGGGUACUCGAGUGGCGAACGGGUGAGUAACACGUGGGUGAUCUGCCCUGCACUUCGGGAUAAGCCUGGGAAACUGGGUCUAAUACCGGAUAGGACCACGUCUUGGAUGUUGUGGUGGAAAGUUUUUUCGGUGUGGGAUGAGCUCGCGGCCUAUCAGCUUGUUUGUGGGGUAAUGGCCUACCAAGGCGUCGACGGGUAGCCGGCCUGAGAGGGUGUACGGCCACAUUGGGACUGAGAUACGGCCCAGACUCCUACGGGAGGCAGCAGUGGGGAAUAUUGCACAAUGGGCGCAAGCCUGAUGCAGCGACGCCGCGUGGGGGAUGACGGCCUUCGGGUUGUAAACUCCUUUCGCUAGGGACGAAGCGUUUUUGUGACGGUACCUGGAGAAGAAGCACCGGCUAACUACGUG